AUGAUUGAGAGCAGCACACCGACCAUGUUGGAAAUAACUGAAACAUCGCGCUGCACCGUGUGCUGCUGUACUCUGGCCAAUAAGAUCCUCAUGGUGCUCUUCAUGGUACUCCUCAUCUUCGCCAUCCUAUUUGGGAACUUGGUGACGCUGGCUGUGGUGUUAGGAACUAAACACUUCCACACGCCACAGGGCUACCUGAAGGCAUCGCUCGCUGUGGCCGAUCUGGCUGUGGGCGUAUUUGUGGUGCCGCUGUCCAUCUAUGCUGAGGUCUACCUAAUGGUGACUGACUCCGCACCGGAGUGGACCUUGUACAACUCACAGUCUGUGAGCUUUCAUCCCUGCAGCAUCAUUGGACCAAUCUUUGCAGGAUGCACCUUGGUAUCCAUAACAACAAUUUUCCUGCUGACAAUUGAGAGGACCAUCGCCGUGUUGCGGCCACUCCACAAAGACUCACUGAUUACUCGCAGAAGGACAACGAUCCUCAUCGUCCUCUCCUGGGUGGGGAGUUUCUUCCUGGCCAUUCUUCCAAUGCUUUUCAGCAGCGAGAUCGCUUUGGAGUACAACUCCUGCAGUCGAAUGUGCAACUACGCUCUUGGAACCAUUGGCAAGUUCCCGAGCCAGGCUUGGAACAUCCUACUCCUGUUUCCAGCAUUUGACUUCACACUCCUCUGUGGCACUGUGGUGAUAAACAUCAUCUCUCUGUCCAGCAUCAGGCAGCAUUCCAAGCGCCGGAAACACCUGGCAGAAGCCGAGUGCCAGAGCACCUCCAAGCCUACCUUCUCUGACAUCAAGGCAGCUAAAACUAUUGGGACACUAACGGUGGCGUUCACCGUGUCCUUCACACCCAUUGCUGUGUUUGUGGUUGGAAACGUGCUGGGAAAUAAAUGGUGCAACUUCUCCUUUUUCGCCUUCUGGAUUUUGGCCGCUAACAGUUGCUGGAAUGUGAUUAUUUACAGCGUGAGGGACCAGAAGUUUAGGACUCACGCUCACCAGCUGCUCAUGCCCUUCCAGAGAAACACCACAGCCUGA
RNAcentral lists this long non-coding RNA (1029 nucleotides) under Betta splendens (Siamese fighting fish). RNAcentral's name for it is "lncRNA (ENSBSLG00000017763.1)". Lineage: Eukaryota; Metazoa; Chordata; Actinopteri; Anabantiformes; Osphronemidae. The record is from RNAcentral.